This 1494-nucleotide ribosomal RNA is filed under the name uncultured Bordetella sp. RNAcentral describes it as "partial 16S-23S ribosomal RNA intergenic spacer". It matches the Rfam family "Bacterial small subunit ribosomal RNA". The record is from RNAcentral. Lineage: Bacteria; Pseudomonadati; Pseudomonadota; Betaproteobacteria; Burkholderiales; Alcaligenaceae.
GUUCGUUGGCUCCAGAUUGAACGCUGGCGGGAUGCUUUACACAUGCAAGUCGAACGGCAACCACGGACUUCAGUCUGGUGGCGAGUGGCGAACGGGUGAGUAAUGUAUCGGAACGUGCCUAGUAGCGGGGGAUAACUACGCGAAAGCGUAGCUAAUACCGCAUACGCCCUUCGGGGGAAAGCGGGGACCGCUGAGGCCUCGCCACUAUUAAACGGCCGAUAUCGGAUUAGCUAGUUGGUGGAGGUAACGGCUCACCAAGGCAGCGAUCGUAGCUGGUUUGAGAGGACAGCCAGCCACACUGGGACUGAGACACGGCCCGGAGCUCCUACGGAGAGGCAACGGUGGGGAAUUUUGGACAAUGGGGGAAACCUGAUCCAGCCAUCCGCGUGUGCGAUGAAGGCCUUCGGGUUGUAAAGAAAACUACUUUUGGCAGGAAAGAAACGGCACGGGAUAAUACCCCGUGCAACUGACGGUACCUGCAGAAUAAGCACCGGCUAACUACGUGUAGCAGCGCGGUAAUACGUAGGGUGCAAGCGUUAAUCGGAAUUACUGGGCGUAAAGCGUGCGCAGGCGGUUCGGAAGAAAGAUGUGAGAAAUCCCAGAGCUUAACUUUGGAACUGCAUUUUUAACUACCGAGCUAGAAGUGUGUCAGAGGAGGUGGAAUUCCGCGUGUAGCAGUGAAAUGCGUAGAUAUGCGGAGGAACACCGAUGGCGAAGGCAACCUCCUGGGAUAACACUGACGCUCAUGCACGAAAGCGUGGGGAGCAGAGCAGGAUUAGAUACCCUGGUAGUCCACGCCUAAACGAUGUCAACUAGCUGUUGGGGCCUUCGGGCUUGGUAGCGCAACUAACGCGUGAAGUUGACCGCCUGGAAAUACGGUCGCAAGAUUAAAACUCAAAGGGAAUUGACGAGGACCCGCACAAGCGGUGGAUGAUGUGAUGUGGAUUAAUUCGAUGCAACGCGAAAAACCUUACCUACCGCCAGCAUGUCUGGAAUCCCGAAGAGAUUUGGGAGUGCUCGCAAGAGAACCGGAACACAGGUGCUGCAUGGCUGUCGUCAGCUCGUGUCGUGAGAUGUUGGGUUAAGUCCCACCAACGAGCGCAACCCUUGUCAUUAGUUGCUACGAAGGGCACUCUAAUGAGACUGCCGGUGACAAACCGGAGGAAGGUGGGGAUGACGUCAAGUCCUCAUAGCCCUUAUGGGUAGGGCUUCACACGUCAUACAAUGGUCGGGACAGAGGGUCCUCCAACCCGCGAGGGAGCCAAUCCCAGAAACCCGAUCGUAGUCCGGAUCGCAGUCUGCAACUCGACUGCGUGAAGUCGGAAUCGCUGGUAAUCGCGGAUCAGCAUGUCGCGGUGAAUACGUUCCCGGGUCUUGUACACACCGCCCGUCACACCAUGGGAGUGGGUUUUACCAGAAGUAGUUAGCCUAACCGUAAGGAGGGCGAUUACCACGGUAGGAUUUCAUGACUGGGGUGAAGUCGUAACUGGGUAG